Non-coding RNA from Salmo salar (Atlantic salmon), 4705 nucleotides. NCBI's taxonomy places the organism in Eukaryota, Metazoa, Chordata, Actinopteri, Salmoniformes, Salmonidae. The record is from RefSeq and is a predicted model, not a curated record.
CCGGAAACUUACUGCUUCAAGAAACGGUGCUACAUGGACAAGACUCCAACGAGACAUGCCCGGCAGAAUCUGGAAGGCCUGGUGAAAAAAGUCUAGAGCCCACGGUUUCCGCGAUUCGUCAGAACAGCCCGCGUCAAAAAAGCCGAGACUCCUCCCCGGCGUAUAACGGCACAGAAGACCAUACACACCGAGAGCACGUGGAGGAUUUUGGCACGCCGGACAUUCCCAAUAAAACAACGAAACCGGAUGAUUUCACCGUUUUAAAUGACAUUCCCGAGGUAGACGACUUGCUCCUCUGCGAAUUGGCCAACCUUCUUGAUUCCUCCAAUUCUUAUGUAGAAACACCCAAACCUGAAAUAGAACAAGCUAGGUUUAUUACUGCCUUUUCCAGGGCUCUAAAAUCCAGAAAUGUCUUGCUACACAAACGAAUGGUGGUUUUACUCGAGCGGCAAUACAGUCAGGAUCUAUCCUUCUAGCGUAGAACAAUGCCCCGCGUGUAAACUUGGAAUCAAUCACACGCUUGGUCGAGGGGUUCAUAAAAAAACGGAAUUAGUGACUUGGAGAUUUUGAGCUCCUACAAAAAAAUAAAAUUGUUAGGGAUAAAAAGGGCUUCCAUCUAAGGAAUGCCCCACUUACUAAAAGAUUCAGGGUAGUCUAUGACAAGAGACUGCUUUUACCUGACGGGACCACAUUGCACUUUGGCUACUGACUUAUGCUACAAGCCCUGCUGGUUUUGGACGAUAUGCUAUUUGCAGGUAGCGAACAUCCUGUAAUUGCACGAGCUUUUACCCAAUAUCCUCAUCAUAGAAACCUGUCCGUGCUUUACUUGUUGCAGAAUGUGUUUCACCAAGGUAAAAAUAGCCAUACCAUUAGUUUGAAUGCCAAUUACAUGGUUUUGUUCAAAAACCCUAGAGACAAACUACAAAUUAACACUCUAGCUCAGCAGAUGUACCCGGGAAGGAAAUCCUACUUUAUGGGGAGCUAUGAGGACGCUACCAAAGCGCCAUUUUCUUAUUUAAUCGUGGAUUUAAAAGCAAAUAUUCCAGAACACCUGAGGCUCCGAACCGGCCUGUUCCCGUGGGAGUGGCCGGCUGCGUACAUUCCUAAAUAGUAACCGCUAUGUCUCUGCGUUUAAAAAGAAACCUGCCCCUCUUGAGAAGCAUAGUUGGGGCUACAGCUAAAGAACGGAAGGCCAUCUUGGGUCACUGUUCUUCAGAUCUCAUAUUAUCCCUAUGUGAGAUUGCUUUGAAUCUUCUCAAAGGGCACAUUCCACUCACCAUGACUCAAUUACAAAAAUUAAAGAGACAAAAGACCGCGAUAGAACUCUUUGCCAAUAAAAGGGCCAGUCUUCAAAAGAAAAGACAUAGCCUACAACAGUCUGGGGGUUUUCUUCUGCCGUUGCUAACUAUAGCUGUGCCCUUCAUCACCAGCCUUAUUGCGGCCAGACGUGGGGGUUGAACACGGAGUGUGAUGGCAAAUAAAAUGUACUUGGUGCCUCAACAAGAGUUGGAUAGACUUAAAAAACAAAUGCAGGGUCCUGAAAAUAUCAGACAAACAGCGGAAAAUGAUUUGGAUACGGUCAUGAAGGAUAUUUUGAACCGAAAAGGAUUGAACCCCUAUGAUAAGGUCCAAAAAUACACAAACCUCUUGCAAAGGUAUUUGGCCUUGGUAAAACAAGGUGAGAGAGAGAGACCAACCAUUUAACGCUUUCCCUACCGGAACCUUUAAAAGAUGACGCGCCUAGAAAGAGCCAAGCCCCUGUAAUACCUGUACCUGCGAUCUUACCGGCUGAAGAUCAAAUUCGUGUUGAAAAUAAUGUUAUGCAUGACAUGUUGACACAUGUUCCAGCACGUAACAGGAAAACUGUUAGAUACAUUAUGAACAAGACAAAAGACUCAAAGGGGACCGCUACUUGGAAUGACCAAGGAGAGUUUACCCUUCAGGGCGCUGUUGUCAAGGGUUCACAUAUGCUUGACUUGCUUAAAAGUACCACGGCAGCCCACAAGGUUGCUGAUGACCGAAGACCUCCAGGGUGGCGUCAGUUUCUUAAAGCCCUGGCAAUCCUCAACAUUCCCCUCUCGGGGGUACCCAACUAUAAGCUUCGUCAACAGAUUCAAGCUUUAAAACAAAAACCUUCACUGAGCUACAGCACCCCUAAAGAUGUCCCAACAACCCCCCCCUAUGAAGGGGAUGGUGAUGACUCAUUUACCCCCCUGAACGCCUCCGGACCUUUUCCUAAUCCCGAUCUCUCGGGGUGGUUAGACUUUUGAAUGACUUUUGAAUGACUAUGACUAAAUUCAAUACAUUUUAUUUGAAAAAUUAAGCAAUUUAACAUUUGUGGCAUUCUUGAAACAUUUGACGUGAGCAUACGCCUUGAUUACACGGUCUUAAAGGACACAUAUUUGAACACUUUAUAUUUUCUAACAAAACAAGCUACAACGGUAUCAUUACUUCCUAAAUCAUCAUUAUAAAGAGACAUAACAUCUUCAAAAGAAACUCCACAGGCUCUUUGGCAUAGGUAGAAUACACAGUGUUGACCACAUGUAGUGGAAAGGUUAUCUUGUACUUGUUUGAUGCUGUAGUAGAUCUUUGACCCGUUUUUGGUCAAAAAUUCUUUAAUAGAUUUGGGAAAAUGUGAAAAACCGGGGGGAAAGCCGUAGGAAUCAAAAAAAGUUGAGAUUUUUCUUCCUCCUUCAUCUUCUAAGGUCACAGCUAGCCAAUGUUCACCAGGCAUGUGUUUAGGAUGGGUAUUGACAAUAAACAUGGCCGGCCGCUCAGGCCAUUUCUCAAUAGGUAAUUCAUCACAAGCCCACACUCCACAAAAUUGUUUUCCAAUCAGGCGGAUCAUGAGCCCUUCCAACUCUUGGGUAUUCAUGUCUUUGCUCAACGAUCCCUAAUAAUAAUCCACUAAGACUUGUCUUCGGGCUUUUACUUCCAAGAUUGAAUCAGAGCAUGCAUAAACAAUCAUGCUAACUGUACAGGCUAAAGGUGUACGGAAACGCAUUUCCAGCCUGAGGUUACCUUGGGACACCACAGACAGAUUUCCUGAGGUGUCAUCAUCAGGGGAUAAAUUGAAAGCAUACAAUGUGUAACCCUCUGCAAAAUCAUUUCUGUCAAUAGGUAAAGAGAGAUUUUUUAGAUGCCUCCCGGUAGCCAGGAAUAGAUUGUAAAAUUCUCACACAGAUAUGUUGUUAUUAAAUUGCGGUUGGAAAGCCUUAGCAGGGACCUGACGUCCGUCCUGACAGAGAGCUACAUACUCUGCAUUGAGGUGUUGAAAAUUAAAGUUUUUUUUAUGUAAGCUGCCCGUAUCAGAGGCGUGAUCAACCAAACCUAUAACCAUGUAGCGGGGUAAAGGGCCAAGAAAAAGGUUUUCUUGACUGCAGAUUCUACUGCCCACAGGUAUGCUAAAGGUUUUCAUAGUAAUUCUUUGGAGAGGGUAAAGGGCAUUUCCUUUCAUCAAAGCCUGUGAGUGACCCAGACGAACUGCCGGAGAUACAGACACUUUUUUAAUAAAAAGCGUUGCCCUCAACACUUUUAAACUAAAGUCACCGUCUUGGGCAGACAUCAGACAAAACUCUUCCUUGGCCCUGGUAAAUUUUAGUCUUAAAUCAACCGAAUCUAAGAGUAAACGUUCUUGAAAGAAAAUGUCAGAGUGUAUAGGACCUAGCAGAUGAAACUCUCGAGAUUCGGCACAGUAGUGAGCGCGUGCCUCCAGUCCUUUGUUUGCACCGGUGGAAGGGUCUAUCGAUUCCAUAGAGGCUCCUGCAGUAUCCUUGCUAAACAGCCCGGCGCUGAAUUGUGUCUUGAGAGUGUCUUCGGUGUAGUUGAGUAAACACUCUAUGAUGGCCCUAUAGGGGUAUGUGGCACUGCUUUGACUGAUUAGGCGUUCCACCAAAGUCACAUCCACUUGGGAGAAGAUGGUGGCCAAGGGGUAAUUAAUGAGACUCACUUUGGCAUCGUUUGCAAUAUUAGUACCAUCUCUUUUGGUCACUUUUAGACGUAAAUGCACCAAGGUGUUGUUGAGGUCCAGACAGUUGUCACUGUGGCCUGGUAUGAAAAAUUCUAUAGGACCGUUGUCGGUAAUGGCAGAGAAUGGGGCUAUCUCCACAUAACUGGACCUGUCUAUUGAAUGUUGGGUUAAGGGGGCCGUGAAAAGAUCGAGCUCUGUUUUUAUAGCUUCAGAGGACAUGCGGUGUAAAAGAGACAUGUUGCUUGUUCUUUCAGAAACUACUUCCGAGUAUUCUUUUUGCCGUUUUUGGUCCAGACCUCCUCACUUUACCACGUCUUUGAGUUACUGAGUUUCUUUUAAUGGUUAACCUCCUCUUUUUAGGGGCAGGCCUGCGCCUUAUACCCGGAGGUCUCUUUUUUGGUCUUCGAGACAACAUCAUAAGCCCCGAGCCUUCUUGAUGCUCGGCAUCUGGUGACGCCCUUCGGGUCAUAGCAUUGGCUACAACCUCACUUACUAUAUUUUUAGCCGCUGAUUUUAAAUGGGGUUUGGCUAUGCUGAGGCUUCUCUUCAUAAACGGUAAAACCAUCCUAAAGAGGUUACAAAAUAUACCUCAUAUCCCAGAACCGUACAUGGUCGGGGAUCCAUGAUAGCCGGGUAACGCAUUACCCACUUGAUCAACAUAGUAUGAGACAUAACGUUUAGGGUCGAGAUGGUGGUUGUGUUCCAUAACCAUUUUAAUUUAUUAGUAUUAUGUUU